UAGCCCACAAAAAAGAAUGGCGUAGUUAUGAUAUUCAGGUCUGGAAAAUGUACCAAUCUUGUGGUCGCAGAGUCCUCUGCUACAAUGCAGCGUGCUUUGUGAGGAAACAUGUCCAUUUUCCUUAGCCGAGCGUGCUAACGCAAGGCAGGGGGGAGGAAACCCAGCUCUGUGUGAGAAGUUUCUGAGCGCGUUCAUGUGAAGCCCUACACACGUUCACGUUUGGCAGCUCCACGUCGACAUUCCUUCAGAGAGGGAGCCGAGCCGGGGGUCCGAGCAGAAGGGUUUACUUCAGGCCAGAAAACUGGACAGGAAAGCGAGAAUCUGUGGGACACGCUAACGUAAGAAGGCAAAUGCAGUUUCACUGUCGCUUAGAAGUCAGACAGUUACCAGUUUGGGUUUGCGGAGGAGUUGCACUAUGCUUGAAACUUCAUGGAGGCAUGGAGACUCCGCUAUGUCUGCUGCAGUCACCUACCAGCUCACCUGGUAGACUUUAUUACUUCAGCUGUUUUCAGAUAGCCAGUACAGUGUAACGCUCCCUGCAAGGGCCUGCAAGACCCAGAGUAGUAGAGCGGACUACCAUCCCAACCAGUGGAACAAGAACUCACUGAAUGAAACCUACAGCGAUGUGUGCAAAACUUGAUGUGUUGCAUAGACCACUUAUUUCAAUAAUUACUACUGUGAUGUACUGUUGAAUACACAUGCAGCAAGGCUCCUCAGGCAAAGUUCUGUGGUCCACUAUGACUGUGUGAAUGUGUGGUCAGUGCAUUACAGAACUUUGCUUUAAGAGCUCUCGUCGUCUGGCAGGUGGUGUGUAAAAAGGACAAAGUGACAAACAUUCGGACCAGUUGACUGAGCCAAUGUUGAUUUCAUACACUAAGCUGUGGUUCUUCAGACAACUGCCCUGGCUAACUGACAGCUGAUGUGCUGUCAAAUGUACUUAUUGUGCCUGAACGAUUAUUACAUAUACUGUACUGGAAUUCAUUGUUGACAAUGGCCAGAACAUUAAGGUAAAAAUCCCUUCUUUCCUGCCACAUUUUCACAACGGUUUAUCCCCCCUUCCCUACAUAGGUACUGUUUUAUAUCCAUAUAUAAAAUCUUAGCGCCCCCUCCUGGCCACAAGAGCAUCUCCUGCUGGAAUCACAGGCUAGGCCCAAACAUGCUUAGCUUCACUGGAUUAUUCUAGUCUGCAUUGUGGUGAAUUUCACGGUGGUAUGGAAGCUUUUGGCAUUUUUCAGAGGGGUCAAACUGCAUUCCUGAAGAGCCACAGAAUUACACAGUGUAAUGUUUCCCAGCUUCAGCUCACACAAAUGAACUCCAGAAGAGCCUGACUGUGUUAAUUAGCUAUGUUAAUACUUUGACACUGUGCUGGUGCUUUGCUUGUAACAAAGGUGUAGAUAAUCUAACCGUACCCAGAUUAUAUCAUCCAUAAUGUAACUAAAUAUAUCACCACUUUAUAGGAACGCUUCCUUUUUGGCGCAGUGUAGCACAGGCAUUGCAGUGUAUAAAACAGGCCCCAGACAGAGUUACAUUAAAACAUACAUGGUUUGCGUAUCAAAAGGUUUUUCUGAUGUUGCUGCAGAUGCCAUAGAGUUAAAUCUGGUGGAACAGGAUACUCUUUCUGCAGUUUUGACUAAACCGCUGGGUAUUUGCCACCUACUUUUUUGAACAGAGGAAUGUAAACAUGUCUAUAAAACAUGAUUUAUGAACUUACCGUGUUUGUUUGCAGCAGUAAAGAUGUUAUUGUAUCAUUAUAUCACUGCUCUCUGUAUACCACAUGCUUGAAGGUGAAGAUAAUUUUUAAAUUCAUAAUAAUAAUGACUCAAUAAAAAUAAAUGCUGUUUCGUGUGUAUCACCGGAUGUUAAUGAGUUGAAUUUUAGAACAGUUGACCCCAAGCCUGGUUAUACCUGAAGAUAACUGGACUGCACCCUUUCACCAUCUGUGUGUCCAUGUCUCUUGUCUUGUUGUUUGAAUAUAUUUGAGACUUCCUCUAUUAAAAUGAAAAUUCUACAUAAAUUACAUUGCUCUGCAAUCUAAAAAUGAGCAGACAACCAUAACGGGUCAUAACUGUU
This is a long non-coding RNA of Pygocentrus nattereri (red-bellied piranha), 2070 nucleotides long. RefSeq lists it as uncharacterized. Lineage: Eukaryota; Metazoa; Chordata; Actinopteri; Characiformes; Serrasalmidae. The transcript has 3 exons. The record is from RefSeq and is a predicted model, not a curated record.